GACGAACGCUGGCGGCGUGCUUAACACAUGCAAGUCGAGCGGUAAGGCUCCUUCGGGAGUACACGAGCGGCGCACGGGUGAGUAACACGUGAGUAAUCUGCCCUUCACUUCGGGAUAACCACCGGAAACGGUGGCUAAUACCGAAUACGACCAGUCUUCGCAUGAGGUGCUGGUGGAAAGUCUUUUCGGUGAAGGAUGUGCUCUCGGCCUAUCAGCUUGUUGGUGGGGUAAUGGCCUACCAAGGCUUCGACGGGUAGCCGGCCUGAGAGGGUGACCGGCCACACUGGGACUGAGACACGGCCCAGACUCCUACGGGAGGCAGCAGUGGGGAAUAUUGGACAAUGGGCGAAAGCCUGAUCCAGCAACGCCGCGUGAGGGAUGACGGCCUUCGGGUUGUAAACCUCUUUCAGUACCGACGAAGCGCCCUGUCGGGUGGUGACGGUAGGUACAGAAGAAGGACCGGCCAACUACGUG
RNAcentral lists this ribosomal RNA (474 nucleotides) under uncultured bacterium. RNAcentral's name for it is "partial 16S ribosomal RNA". It matches the Rfam family "Bacterial small subunit ribosomal RNA", at positions 28 to 507 of the family's 1533-position model. The record is from RNAcentral.